This is a non-coding RNA of Phalacrocorax carbo (great cormorant), 1050 nucleotides long. Lineage: Eukaryota; Metazoa; Chordata; Aves; Suliformes; Phalacrocoracidae. The record is from RefSeq and is a predicted model, not a curated record.
ACCACCUUUGGGUGGUUCCUGGACUCUAAGCAGAUUACACCUCCCCACCCCACACCCGCGCUAUCGUCUGAGCUAAUAAUAAUGCAGUUACUGCCUACUACCAAUAUUAGGGCAUUGCAAGCUUAUCUCUCCCUGGGUAAUCUUUUCCAGAGUUAGGCUGAUAAGCAACUUGUUGCACCCCCACCGCCACGCUUGUCCUCUCCCCCGUGUAGCAGAGGUUCGCUGGCCCCAGCCAGCGAGCAGAGGGGACGGCCAGGCAGCAGGCAGGACAUGGCGAGCGGGAAGGUUAUGGUGGCUGGAGGAAAUCUGCACCACUCUGAAGACAAGCCAGCGGCAGGUGAGGGCAGGAAAGGCUGACCGCGGAGCCUCGGGUCCCCUCGCACGCAGGGCAUGGAGGGAAGCGGGUGGCACUGUCGCAGGGAACAUCGCCGGCAAACGGAGACCCUGCUGCCAGCACCGGUGAAAACCACGGUCCUGAACUGAACAUGCCUGUGUGCACACAUCCAUUAGCUGGCUUCCAGCACCGCUGAUGCUAUCAGAGCGGCGUGGAUGCUUCCAGCUGCAAAGUGCUUUCAUGUUGCUGCUUUCCCAAGACAGGCAGUACUUUUAAGAUGGGGAUAUGCAGAAAAUCUGUCUGGCUGAGGAGCACGAGGUAUUUAAAAUGUGCUGGCUGCCAACUUGCGGGCUGACAUAAUCCAUCAUGACAGCAGAGCCAACUGGGCAGGAUUUACAGAGCCUUUCGAAACAGGGAGAGGAAACGGUGCCUGAUUCAGCCUGGAAGAAUGCACAGGAGAUACCUGCAGCAGCAAACUACCCAGCACCUGGAUAUUUAAUGAGGGAGACACCUGAGAAGCGGUGAUGCAAAGGAGACCUGGGUGGAUGCUCGGCCGAGCUGGACGAGCAUCGCGGGCGUUACUUGUACAACAAAACCUUCUGCAAGAUGACCCUCGUCUUCCAGGAUGCUGCGCCCGUGGGGGUGGGUAUUACCUGACCUUUACUGGGAAGGAGCGAUAAAAGAAAACAGAUAUUAAAUAUAUUUGCUGCUUGCAA